UUAAUAAGCUUCAGGUUAUAUGUGGAGUAGUUACAUUGGAGCGCAGAAUGUAUAUAUAACCUUGUACCUGUGAUUCCUCCAGAUUGUAUUUCAUUGCUUUCAGAAUAGAUACUAUUUUUAUAACAAUCAAAGAAACCGAAAAGCAAACAAUAACAUGAAUCUGAAGAAGAUGUCUCUCAAUCAUUAACGCAAAUAAUUAGAAGCUUGGAGUUGAUCAAACCAAGAAAAUAUCUGAGUCCUGCCGCAAAGAUGCCUUUUGGCCAUCUCAGACACCGUAAGCCUUCACGGGAGAUCGGUGGACAAGCGGGUGACGUCAUGGCCUGUUUCCGACUGUAUGGGAGUGAGAUGGGAGUCUCGGAACAUUUCCUCUGAGAGGACCUCGGGGACCCAAAUACACUCAAAACGAAGUCAACUCUGUGAUUGUUGAACUCUAUACUGUGAGAGACAGCAUCGGGCAUCCUAAGGAAGAGAACUGGAACCAUUGUCCCUGAGCAAACUGUGCUGUCAGGGAAAAGGGCAAACACGGAAGUAUCCUGGAAGCCGAGUUUGGGAUAUGGAUAUUUACCCGGAACCUUGAGGAACGGAGUAGCCCAAUCACAGCCGGUCAAACACUGGACAAAGUGGGCACAUUUCCUUGGAGAAACUUUAAAACAGAGACAAGGAUUUCGAUGUUGAGCAAUUUCAGAUCUUCUCUCACAAAAAAACUCAAACUUUUCUGUAAUCUUUACGGUACAUUUAAAGUGGAGACUGGUUACGUUUAUGAUUCUAAUAACCACCCCCCCCCCCCCCAGUAAAUGAACGAAGGGACGCUGACUACUGAUUAGAAACAGUUUCUAACGUGCAGAUAUUUGAUCAAAAACACAUGUUAGCCAUACAACAGAGACAGAAAAAUCAAAACCUCUUCUGUCUGUCUUUAAGCAAGACAUCGUCACUCGGGAGAAUGUUAUUUCUGCUUCACGUAGUCCCUGUUCAUCGCCGGUCUCGUAAAUCCCUCGUUAAACGUGCACGAUUGGGCGAGACGGAGAGUAUAGUCAAUUCCUCCCAUGAAAACCUCCGCUAACCUUUCCCUGGAUCGGGUGUCGAUCUAUUCGAUCCGUUGGUUUACUUUGACCGGAGUAAAGGCCAAAACGUC
Non-coding RNA from Chiloscyllium plagiosum (whitespotted bambooshark), 1132 nucleotides. Lineage: Eukaryota; Metazoa; Chordata; Chondrichthyes; Orectolobiformes; Hemiscylliidae. The record is from RefSeq and is a predicted model, not a curated record.